AACAUCUCAGAGACUCAGCCUUACAUUUGAGCUUCAGUCAGGCCCAGACUCAGGAGUUUGUUGAGGAGUGAGAAGUUUGUUGUGCAACAAAAUCGGUGACUAGAAGGAUUUGGAGCAAAGAACGUGGAAGUUAAGUAAGCAGGACUCUGGAUCAGCCAAUAUGCAGCAGUCACAUCACUGGAGGUUAACCAAUCCACGCUGGAACCAGCACUGCUACAAAGUGAAUUACAACGGCCCUGAGCUGUG
This is a long non-coding RNA of Seriola aureovittata, 246 nucleotides long. RefSeq lists it as uncharacterized. NCBI's taxonomy places the organism in Eukaryota, Metazoa, Chordata, Actinopteri, Carangiformes, Carangidae. The record is from RefSeq and is a predicted model, not a curated record. The transcript has 3 exons.